AUCCAGACUCCUACGGGAGGCAGCAGUGAGGAAUAUUGGUCAAUGGGCGGGAGCCUGAACCAGCCAAGCCGCGUGAGGGAAGAAGGUACAGCGUAUCGUAAACCUCUUUUGUCAGGGAACAAAGGCGGGGACUAGUCCCCGGAUGAGGGUACCUGAAGAAAAAGCAUCGGCUAACUCCGUGCCAGCAGCCGCGGUAAUACGGAGGAUGCGAGCGUUAUCCGGAUUUAUUGGGUUUAAAGGGUGCGCAGGCGGCGUGUUAGGACGGGGGAAAGAGCCUGGGGCACACCCCCGGGGAGCCGUUGAAACUGGCGGGCUGGAGUUGGAGAGAAGUACGCGGAAUGCGCGGUGUAGCGGUGAAAUGCUUAGAUAUCGCGCAGAACCCCGAUUGCGAAGGCAGCGUACCGGCUCCACACUGACGCUGAGGCACGAAAGUGCGGGUAUCGAACAGGAUUAGAUACCCCGGUAAU
This 467-nucleotide ribosomal RNA is filed under the name uncultured bacterium. RNAcentral describes it as "bacterial SSU rRNA". It matches the Rfam family "Bacterial small subunit ribosomal RNA", at positions 329 to 794 of the family's 1533-position model. The record is from RNAcentral.